GGGAGAGUUUGAUCCUGGCUCAGAUUGAACGCUGGCGGAAUGCUUUACACAUGCAAGUCGAACGGCAGCACGGGUGCUUGCACCUGGUGGCGAGUGGCGAACGGGUGAGUAACAUAUAGGAACAUGCCCAGUAAUGGGGGAUAACGCCGAGAAAUCGGUGCUAAUACCGCAUACGCCCUGAGGGGGAAAGCGGGGGAUCUUCGGACCUCGCGUUACUGGAUUGGCCUAUAUCUGAUUAGCUAGUUGGUGAGGUAAAGGCUCACCAAGGCGACGAUCAGUAGCUGGUCUGAGAGGAUGAUCAGCCACACUGGGACUGAGAGGCGGCCCAGACUCCUACGGGAGGCAGCAGUGGGGAAUUUUGGACAAUGGGCGAAAGCCUGAUCCAGCCAUUCCGCGUGAGUGAAGAAGGCCUUCGGGUUGUAAAGCUCUUUCGGCAGGAAAGAAAUCGCCAUUUUUAAUAGAGAUGGUGGAUGACGGUACCUGAAGAAGAAGCACCGGCUAACUACGUGCCAGCAGCCGCGGUAA
This 525-nucleotide ribosomal RNA is filed under the name uncultured bacterium. RNAcentral describes it as "bacterial SSU rRNA". It matches the Rfam family "Bacterial small subunit ribosomal RNA", at positions 1 to 523 of the family's 1533-position model. The record is from RNAcentral.